GAUAAACGCUGGCGGCGUGCCUAAUGCAUGCAAGUCGAACGGGCGUCCUUUGGGACGUGACCGUGGCGGACGGGUGAGGAGCACGUAGCUGACCUGCCCUGGUGUGGGGGAUAUCCUCGGGAAACCGAGUGUAAUACCGCAUGAGCUUCAUUGGAGGGAUCUGAUGAAGGAAAGAAGCAAUUCGCACCAGGAGGGGGCUGCGUCCGAUUAGCUAGUUGGUGGGGUAACGGCUUACCAAGGCGAUGAUCGGUAGCUGGUCUGAGAGGACGAUCAGCCACACGGGGACUGAGACACGGCCCCGACUCCUACGGGAGGCAGCAGCAAGGAAUUUUCCACAAUGGGCGCAAGCCUGAUGGAGCAACGCCGCGUGGGGGAUGACGCACUUCAGUGUGUAAACCCCUUUUCGAGGGGACGAAGGCAAUGACGGUACCCUCGGAAUAAGGAUCGGCUAACUACGUG
This 459-nucleotide ribosomal RNA is filed under the name uncultured Chloroflexota bacterium. RNAcentral describes it as "bacterial SSU rRNA". It matches the Rfam family "Bacterial small subunit ribosomal RNA", at positions 28 to 507 of the family's 1533-position model. Lineage: Bacteria; Bacillati; Chloroflexota. The record is from RNAcentral.